UGCGAAGGUAGCAUAAUCAUUAGCCUUUUGAUUUGAGGCUGGAAUGAAUGGUUUGACGAGAGAUGGUCUGUCUCUUCGAUUAAAUUGAAGUUAAUCUUUAAGUGAAAAAGCUUAAAUAUACUUGGAGGGCGAUAAGACCCUAUAGAUCUUUACAUUUAAUUCUUUUGUUUCGCGGUAGGUAAUUAGACAGAGUAAUAUAAUGUUCGGUUGGGGCGACGGUAAGAACAGAAUAAACACUUACAACAUAAAGACAUCAAUAAAUGACCAUUGAUCCUUAGAUGAAUAAAGACCAAGUUACCUUAGGGAUAACAGCGUAAUUCUUUUUGAGAGUUCAAAUCGACAAAAGAGUUUGCGACCUCGAUGUUGGUUCAGGGAUCCUACUCGGUGCAGCAGCCUAGAGAGGCAGU
Molecule: ribosomal RNA, 407 nt
Filed under: Artemia franciscana
Lineage: Eukaryota; Metazoa; Arthropoda; Branchiopoda; Anostraca; Artemiidae
Description: partial 16S ribosomal RNA
Rfam family: Bacterial large subunit ribosomal RNA
Source: RNAcentral